Molecule: ribosomal RNA, 492 nt
Filed under: uncultured bacterium
Lineage: Bacteria
Description: partial 16S ribosomal RNA
Rfam family: Bacterial small subunit ribosomal RNA
Source: RNAcentral
AUUGAACGCUGGCGGCAUGCUUUACACAUGCAAGUCGAACGGUAACAGGCCUUCGGGUGCUGACGAGUGGCGAACGGGUGAGUAAUGCAUCGGAACGUGCCCAGAGGUGGGGGAUAACGCAGCGAAAGCUGUGCUAAUACCGCAUGUGAUCUGAGGAUGAAAGCGGGGGACCAGGCAGCAAUGUUUGGCCUCGCGCCUUUGGAGCGGCCGAUGUCAGAUUAGGUAGUUGGUGGGGUAAAGGCCUACCAAGCCGACGAUCUGUAGCUGGUCUGAGAGGACGACCAGCCACACUGGGACUGAGACACGGCCCAGACUCCUACGGGAGGCAGCAGUGGGGAAUUUUGGACAAUGGGCGCGAGCCUGAUCCAGCAAUGCCGCGUGCGGGAAGAAGGCCUUCGGGUUGUAAACCGCUUUUGUACGGAACGAAAAGGCUCUGGCUAAUACCUGGGGCUGAUGACGGUACCGUAAGAAUAAGCACCGGCUAACUACGUG